Molecule: long non-coding RNA, 1774 nt
Filed under: Nicotiana tabacum (common tobacco)
Lineage: Eukaryota; Viridiplantae; Streptophyta; Magnoliopsida; Solanales; Solanaceae
Description: long non-coding RNA (NTAB_LNC008196)
Source: RNAcentral
ACCCUCACCUGUCUUCAUCUCCUUCGCCAUUUUUAAAACCUAGCCGCCCUUGAAUUCUUACCCCCACCGGCAGGCAGCGCACCUCCAAUCGACCCCAAUUUCACACCACACAAUCACCAUGCCCCCCUAAACUCAAAUCCCCCAACAAUUUCCCCAAAUAAUCCCUUAAACCAACUGAAUUCCAAAUCUUAAAAAAGAAACAAAAAAACCUAGUUCCUGCAUUUUUGGGGAUUUUCGAUGGACCUUCUGCUCGUUUGACUGGCAGCUUGCCCAAAUAGACUACUCUUGACAAGAGUAGUCGUUUGAGUCAGCUUCGACCCCUCUCGAAGCACCCAGGCUAUGGCUGAGUUUUUGCCAACUUCUUCUUGGUCUACCAUUGCUGCUUGAAUCGGUAUACCCCUGACCCUCCCAUUUUUAUUAUUGUGUGCUUUCUUCGUCAGUUUAGUUUACAUGGUAGGUUAGGAUAAUUAACAAACAAAUCCAGUUUAAUUUUAAUCAGUUUAAUUGUUUAAAUCAUUUGUUUGCAUGUUUGGAUUUGUGGUUAAUUGCAACCUGUUUUAGGAUAGUCUAAAAAAUAAGAUUAUUUAGGUGUUAAUUAAUUUACUGUUAAUUAUAAUCAAUCUUAGGGUAGUUUUAUUUGGAUUUAAUUGUUAGCUAAUCAAGUUCAGAUUGUUCAAAUGAUUUGCUAGGGUAAUUGGUAACAGAUUAUUUUUUACUUUGAUAUUUGGUUCUGUUUUGGCCAAUGAAGGCUGAUCAGUUAAGGCCUGAAUUGUUAUUGAACUUGGGUUUGUCUUGAGCCAUUUGGCCAGGACAGUUGGCCCAGACUAAAGGGAAAGGUUCUAGAAUUAUACCAUUUGUCUAGAAUUGAUAAAAAACAUGUGAAAAUAUCUCAAUAUGAGCAGCUAUCUAACAGCUGCCCAAUUUCGGUUAUGGAAAGAUUCUUUCUCCCUGAAAUUUAGGGGGUGAGGUUGAAGGGAAUAAUUCUUAUCCUUUUCAGCACAUGACAUAUUGAGCAUCUAUAAAGAGGACCCUUCCCUCACUCAUUAGGGGAGAUUUUUCAGAUCCUAAAAAAUAUAGAAAAGUUGAGUGCUACUAUUCUAUUAGAGUUUCGACAAAGGGAGUUAGAACAAAGUUUUCUCUGGUAAUUCCUGGUUGUCCAAGGUCCAAACAUGGUUUAAUUUAGAGUUGUGUUACCUACUGUGUCUCCGCUGCUGACUGCAUCUUCUGUUUGGCUGCUUCAUUGUCCAUUUCAGCUCACUACCUUGUUUUGUUCCUUGUAUCCAGGUACCUCUAUGAACUUUAAAUGAAAAAGUGAAGCCUAAAGCAUGUAUUAGUCUUUAAUGUAAUAAAGUUGGGUGUUCAAAUGUUGAAAUCCCAGUUUUAUCUUCAUGUAUGCUAUUUGCAAGUCAUCUAGUUCAUCAUUUCUGUUUUAGUGUUUAAAUAUUCUGAAUCUGAUGUGCUAGUAUAUGACUUAGCCAUUUGUAUGGAUAUUCAUAACUAUUCUAUGUGUGGUUUGACAGUCUCAAAAAUGGUUAAUAGCCUCUUAGUUCACUUGGUCUUUAUCUGAGAAUGCUAGAUAUGUACUGGACAUGUCCAAAGUAGGUCAUGUUUAAUUAUUAGGUGUGCUUAGUUGAAAUAUUGCAUAUUUUAACAUUGUUUAAGUGAUUGUAUAUUUAAGUUGAUUCAUGAAUAAGUUUAGGGUUUAAUCUUUCAUUGUUAAUGGCAUGUUAAUAGGUUAAACUCAUGAUAUGGUUUUAUCAACCUUCAAUCUUCC